UGGGGAAUAUUGCACAAUGGGCGCAAGCCUGAUGCAGCCAUGCCGCGUGUGUGAAGAAGGCCUUCGGGUUGUAAAGCACUUUCAGCGAGGAGGAAGGUGGUGAGCUUAAUACGCUCAUCAAUUGACGUUACUCGCAGAAGAAGCACCGGCUAACUCCGUGCCAGCAGCCGCGGUAAUACGGAGGGUGCAAGCGUUAAUCGGAAUUACUGGGCGUAAAGCGCACGCAGGCGGUUUGUUAAGUCAGAUGUGAAAUCCCCGGGCUCAACCUGGGAACUGCAUUUGAAACUGGCAAGCUAGAGUCUCGUAGAGGGGGGUAGAAUUCCAGGUGUAGCGGUGAAAUGCGUAGAGAUCUGGAGGAAUACCGGUGGCGAAGGCGGCCCCCUGGACGAAGACUGACGCUCAGGUGCGAAAGCGUGGGGAGCAAAACAGGAUUAGAUACCCUGGUAGUCCACGCUGUAAACGAUGUCGAUUUUGGAGGUUGUGCCCUUGAGGCGUGGCUUCCGGAGCUAACGCGUUAAAUCGACCGCCUGGGGAGUACGGCCGCAAGGUUAAAACUCAAAUGAAUUGAC
Molecule: ribosomal RNA, 569 nt
Filed under: uncultured bacterium
Lineage: Bacteria
Description: partial 16S ribosomal RNA
Rfam family: Bacterial small subunit ribosomal RNA
Source: RNAcentral